CCAACCAGGGAUUGCCCUAGUAACGGCGAGUGAAGCGGCAACAGCUCAAAUUUGAAAUCUGGCUCUUUUAGAGUCCGAGUUGUAAUUUGCAGAGGGCGCUUUGGCGUUGGCAGCGGUCCAAGUUCCUUGGAACAGGACGUCACAGAGGGUGAGAAUCCCGUACGUGGUCGCUAACCUUCGCCGUGUAAAGCCCCUUCGACGAGUCGAGUUGUUUGGGAAUGCAGCUCUAAAUGGGAGGUAAAUUUCUUCUAAAGCUAAAUACUGGCCAGAGACCGAUAGCGCACAAGUAGAGUGAUCGAAAGAUGAAAAGCACUUUGGAAAGAGAGUCAAAUAGCACGUGAAAUUGUUAAAAGGGAAGCGCUUGCAGCCAGACUUGCCUGUAGUUGCUCAUCCGGACUUUUGUCCGGUGCACUCUUCUAUAGGCAGGCCAGCAUCAGUUUGGGCGGUUAGAUAAAGGUCUCUGUCAUGUACCUCCUUUCGGGGAGGCCUUAUAGGGGAGACGACAUGUAACCAGCCUGGACUGAGGUCCGCGCAUUUAUGCUAGGAUGCUGGCGUAAUGGCUGUAAGCGGCCCGUCUUGAAACACGGACCAAGGAGUCUAACAUCUAUGCGAGUGUUUGGGUGUCAAGCCCGAACGCGUAAUGAAAGUGAACGGAGGUGGGAACCCUUUAGGGUGCACCAUCGACCGAUCCUGAUGUCUUCGGAUGGAUUUGAGUAAGAGCAUGGCUGUUGGGACCCGAAAGAUGGUGAACUAUGCUUGAAUAGGGUGAAGCCAGAGGAAACUCUGGUGGAGGCUCGCAGCGGUUCUGACGUGCAAAUCGAUCGUCAAAUUUGGGCAUAGGGGCGAAAGACUAAUCGAACUAUCUAG
RNAcentral lists this ribosomal RNA (867 nucleotides) under Paraleptosphaeria kunmingensis. RNAcentral describes it as "Paraleptosphaeria sp. YG-2022a partial large subunit ribosomal RNA". It matches the Rfam family "Eukaryotic large subunit ribosomal RNA", at positions 65 to 947 of the family's 3401-position model. The record is from RNAcentral. Lineage: Eukaryota; Fungi; Ascomycota; Dothideomycetes; Pleosporales; Leptosphaeriaceae.